This 1043-nucleotide ribosomal RNA is filed under the name uncultured bacterium. Its description in RNAcentral is "bacterial SSU rRNA". It matches the Rfam family "Bacterial small subunit ribosomal RNA", at positions 10 to 1064 of the family's 1533-position model. The record is from RNAcentral.
AGUUUGAUCCUGGCUCAGGAUGAACGCUAGCGGCAGGCCUAAUACAUGCAAGUCGAACGGUGGUAGCGAUACCAUAGUGGCGCACGGGUGCGUAACGCGUAGCCAACCUACCCGAAUCUGGGGGAUAGCCCGCCGAAAGGCGGAUUAAUACCGCAUAAGACUAUGGAAUGGCAUCAUUUCGUAGUUAAAGAUUUAUUGGAUUCGGAUGGGGCUGCGUGCCAUUAGCUAGUUGGAGGGGUAACGGCCCACCAAGGCGACGAUGGCUAGGGGAGCUGAGAGGCUGGUCCCCCACACGGGCACUGAGAUACGGGCCCGACUCCUACGGGAGGCAGCAGUAGGGAAUAUUGGGCAAUGGGCGAGAGCCUGACCCAGCCAUGCCGCGUGCCGGAUGAAGGCCUUCUGGGUCGUAAACGGCUUUUUUUCCGGGAAGAACCGGUUCCUUGCGAGGGGCUCUGACGGUACCGGGAGAAUAAGCACCGGCUAACUCCGUGCCAGCAGCCGCGGUAAUACGGAGGGUGCGAGCGUUGUCCGGAUUUAUUGGGUUUAAAGGGUGCGUAGGCGGCCGCGUAAGUCUGGGGUGAAAGCCCGUUGCUCAACAACGGAACUGCCCUGGAAACUGCGUGGCUUGAGUCCAGACGAGGUUGGCGGAAUGGGCGGUGUAGCGGUGAAAUGCAUAGAUACCGUCCAGAACACCGAUUGCGAAGGCAGCUGACUAGGCUGGUACUGACGCUGAGGCACGAAAGCGUGGGGAGCGAACAGGAUUAGAUACCCUGGUAGUCCACGCCGUAAACGAUGGAUACUCGCUGCCAGCGAUAGAUAGUUGGUGGCUUAGCGAAAGCGUUAAGUAUCCCACCUGGGGAGUACGCCCGCAAGGGUGAAACUCAAAGGAAUUGACGGGGGCCCGCACAAGUGGUGGAGCAUGUGGUUUAAUUCGAUGAUACGCGAGGAACCUUACCUAGGCUAGAAUGCGCGUGACCGGUUCGGAGACGAGCCUUUCCUUCGGGACACAAAGCAAGGUGCUGCAUGGCUGUCGUCAGCUCGUG